GGUUAAGCGACUAAGCGUACACGGUGGAUGCCCUGGCAGUCAGAGGCGAUGAAGGACGUGCUAAUCUGCGAUAAGCGUCGGUAAGGUGAUAUGAACCGUUAUAACCGGCGAUUUCCGAAUGGGGAAACCCAGUGUGUUUCGACACACUAUCAUUAACUGAAUCCAUAGGUUAAUGAGGCGAACCGGGGGAACUGAAACAUCUAAGUACCCCGAGGAAAAGAAAUCAACCGAGAUUCCCCCAGUAGCGGCGAGCGAACGGGGAGCAGCCCAGAGCCUGAAUCAGUGUGUGUGUUAGUGGAAGCGUCUGGAAAGGCGCGCGAUACAGGGUGACAGCCCCGUACACAAAAAUGCACAUGCUGUGAGCUCGAUGAGUAGGGCGGGACACGUGGUAUCCUGUCUGAAUAUGGGGGGACCAUCCUCCAAGGCUAAAUACUCCUGACUGACCGAUAGUGAACCAGUACCGUGAGGGAAAGGCGAAAAGAACCCCGGCGAGGGGAGUGAAAAAGAACCUGAAACCGUGUACGUACAAGCAGUGGGAGCACGCUUAGGCGUGUGACUGCGUACCUUUUGUAUAAUGGGUCAGCGACUUAUAUUCUGUAGCAAGGUUAACCGAAUAGGGGAGCCGAAGGGAAACCGAGUCUUAACUGGGCGUUAAGUUGCAGGGUAUAGACCCGAAACCCGGUGAUCUAGCCAUGGGCAGGUUGAAGGUUGGGUAACACUAACUGGAGGACCGAACCGACUAAUGUUGAAAAAUUAGCGGAUGACUUGUGGCUGGGGGUGAAAGGCCAAUCAAACCGGGAGAUAGCUGGUUCUCCCCGAAAGCUAUUUAGGUAGCGCCUCGUGAAUUCAUCUCCGGGGGUAGAGCACUGUUUCGGCAAGGGGGUCAUCCCGACUUACCAACCCGAUGCAAACUGCGAAUACCGGAGAAUGUUAUCACGGGAGACACACGGCGGGUGCUAACGUCCGUCGUGAAGAGGGAAACAACCCAGACCGCCAGCUAAGGUCCCAAAGUCAUGGUUAAGUGGGAAACGAUGUGGGAAGGCCCAGACAGCCAGGAUGUUGGCUUAGAAGCAGCCAUCAUUUAAAGAAAGCGUAAUAGCUCACUGGUCGAGUCGGCCUGCGCGGAAGAUGUAACGGGGCUAAACCAUGCACCGAAGCUGCGGCAGCGACGCUUAUGCGUUGUUGGGUAGGGGAGCGUUCUGUAAGCCUGUGAAGGUGUGCUGUGAGGCAUGCUGGAGGUAUCAGAAGUGCGAAUGCUGACAUAAGUAACGAUAAAGCGGGUGAAAAGCCCGCUCGCCGGAAGACCAAGGGUUCCUGUCCAACGUUAAUCGGGGCAGGGUGAGUCGACCCCUAAGGCGAGGCCGAAAGGCGUAGUCGAUGGGAAACAGGUUAAUAUUCCUGUACUUGGUGUUACUGCGAAGGGGGGACGGAGAAGGCUAUGUUGGCCGGGCGACGGUUGUCCCGGUUUAAGCGUGUAGGCUGGUUUUCCAGGCAAAUCCGGAAAAUCAAGGCUGAGGCGUGAUGACGAGGCACUACGGUGCUGAAGCAACAAAUGCCCUGCUUCCAGGAAAAGCCUCUAAGCAUCAGGUAACAUCAAAUCGUACCCCAAACCGACACAGGUGGUCAGGUAGAGAAUACCAAGGCGCUUGAGAGAACUCGGGUGAAGGAACUAGGCAAAAUGGUGCCGUAACUUCGGGAGAAGGCACGCUGAUAUGUAGGUGAAGUCCCUUGCGGAUGGAGCUGAAAUCAGUCGAAGAUACCAGCUGGCUGCAACUGUUUAUUAAAAACACAGCACUGUGCAAACACGAAAGUGGACGUAUACGGUGUGACGCCUGCCCGGUGCCGGAAGGUUAAUUGAUGGGGUCAGCGCAAGCGAAGCUCUUGAUCGAAGCCCCGGUAAACGGCGGCCGUAACUAUAACGGUCCUAAGGUAGCGAAAUUCCUUGUCGGGUAAGUUCCGACCUGCACGAAUGGCGUAAUGAUGGCCAGGCUGUCUCCACCCGAGACUCAGUGAAAUUGAACUCGCUGUGAAGAUGCAGUGUACCCGCGGCAAGACGGAAAGACCCCGUGAACCUUUACUAUAGCUUGACACUGAACAUUGAGCCUUGAUGUGUAGGAUAGGUGGGAGGCUUUGAAGUGUGGACGCCAGUCUGCAUGGAGCCGACCUUGAAAUACCACCCUUUAAUGUUUGAUGUUCUAACGUUGACCCCUAAUCGGGGUUGCGGACAGUGUCUGGUGGGUAGUUUGACUGGGGCGGUCUCCUCCUAAAGAGUAACGGAGGAGCACGAAGGUUGGCUAAUCCUGGUCGGACAUCAGGAGGUUAGUGCAAUGGCAUAAGCCAGCUUGACUGCGAGCGUGACGGCGCGAGCAGGUGCGAAAGCAGGUCAUAGUGAUCCGGUGGUUCUGAAUGGAAGGGCCAUCGCUCAACGGAUAAAAGGUACUCCGGGGAUAACAGGCUGAUACCGCCCAAGAGUUCAUAUCGACGGCGGUGUUUGGCACCUCGAUGUCGGCUCAUCACAUCCUGGGGCUGAAGUAGGUCCCAAGGGUAUGGCUGUUCGCCAUUUAAAGUGGUACGCGAGCUGGGUUUAGAACGUCGUGAGACAGUUCGGUCCCUAUCUGCCGUGGGCGCUGGAGAACUGAGGGGGGCUGCUCCUAGUACGAGAGGACCGGAGUGGACGCAUCACUGGUGUUCGGGUUGUCAUGCCAAUGGCACUGCCCGGUAGCUAAAUGCGGAAGAGAUAAGUGCUGAAAGCAUCUAAGCACGAAACUUGCCCCGAGAUGAGUUCUCCCUGACCCUUUAAGGGUCCUGAAGGAACGUUGAAGACGACGACGUUGAUAGGCCGGGUGUGUAAGCGCAGCGAUGCGUUGAGCUAACCGGUACUAAUGAACCGUGAGGCUUAACCUU
RNAcentral lists this ribosomal RNA (2904 nucleotides) under Escherichia coli. Its description in RNAcentral is "23S ribosomal RNA". It matches the Rfam family "Bacterial large subunit ribosomal RNA". RNAcentral also lists the same sequence under 9 other names. Lineage: Bacteria; Pseudomonadati; Pseudomonadota; Gammaproteobacteria; Enterobacterales; Enterobacteriaceae. The record is from RNAcentral.